UCUACGGGAGGCAGCAGUGGGGAAUAUUGCACAAUGGGGGAAACCCUGAUGCAGCGACGCCGCGUGAAGGAAGAAGUAUUUCGGUAUGUAAACUUCUAUCAGCAGGGAAGAAAAUGACGGUACCUGACUAAGAAGCCCCGGCUAACUACGUGCCAGCAGCCGCGGUAAUACGUAGGGGGCCAGCGUUAUCCUGAUUUACUGGGUGGAAAGGGAGCGUAGGCGGUUUAGCAAGUCAGAAGUGAAAGCCCGGGGCUCAACUCCGGGACUGCUUUUGAAACUGUAGAGCUUGAGUGCGGGAGGGGCAGGCGGAAUUCCUAGUGUAGCGGUGAAAUGCGUAGAUAUUAGGAGGAACACCGGCGGCGAAGGCGGCCUGCUGGACCGUAACUGACGUUGAGGCUCGAAAGCGUGGGGAGCAAACAGGAUUAGAUACCCGAGUAGUC
This 440-nucleotide ribosomal RNA is filed under the name uncultured bacterium. Its description in RNAcentral is "partial 16S ribosomal RNA". It matches the Rfam family "Bacterial small subunit ribosomal RNA", at positions 338 to 795 of the family's 1533-position model. The record is from RNAcentral.